Long non-coding RNA from Notolabrus celidotus (New Zealand spotty), 635 nucleotides. RefSeq lists it as uncharacterized. The transcript has 3 exons. Lineage: Eukaryota; Metazoa; Chordata; Actinopteri; Labriformes; Labridae. The record is from RefSeq and is a predicted model, not a curated record.
UGGUCUUGACAUCAUCAUGUUGUCUCUGCGUGUGGCUGAACUGGUCCUCAUCACUCUGCUCACUGUUCUUCUCUUCAGAGCUCGAGGGAACCAGAGACCUCCUGAUGAUAUCACUGUGCGUUAUGAUGGAGAUGACGACACAGUGAACUAUGAGAACGCUGGAGAGCCUUCUGCUUCAGUCAGACUCCACUGAUCAACAUCUUCCACGCCUUCAAUUUACCAGACCAAUGAGUCCACUGCUCUUAAACUCUGUUACAGCUUUUUACUGCACAUACAAACACAAACCCUGAUUUCAGUUUGAGCUUUGAGGCGAGGACUUCAGUGAUGUACUGAUUUAAAAGAAGGUGAUAUUGAACUCAGCAGCCAGAGGUUUGAGCCUUGAUUUGAUCUGAAUGUGAGAGUACAAUUAAACAUGAUUUAUCUUUAACUUCAUCAUGAGGGAGAAUAUUUAGUUCCUGACACGUUUAGUAAAAAACUUCAGAUCACAUUUAUUUAGAAAGAAGACCUGCAGAUUUAUUUUUGAAUGUCUGUUUCACUUUAAAUAUCUUUAAAUGAUCUCAUGUUAAUCACUGUGUGCUUAGCGACUCUAAUGAAUGAACUUUAAGUUGACAUUGUUGUUGAUAUAUUUCAUUGGA